Molecule: small RNA, 499 nt
Filed under: Pongo abelii (Sumatran orangutan)
Lineage: Eukaryota; Metazoa; Chordata; Mammalia; Primates; Hominidae
Description: processed transcript
Source: RNAcentral
CCUUCUGGGAUAUUGCCAGCAUUCUUUCCUGCCUCACUCACCUCCCUGAAUGACUUGGGCUUGAGAAUGUUUCUACAUGAUUUUUCUGAGCUUGCUGUCUUACCUGAGAGCAGGAAGUCAAAAGGAGAGUGAUGGAGCCACAUGCUGCCCUCUACUUUGCAGAUAUUAAAGAGGAGACUGAAACUGUUCCUUGGACAUCUUAUGAGUGUCAGAAAAUACCUUUUGGAGGGUUAGAAGAUCAGAGGACAUGGUUGUUCACAUUUGCUGCCAUGGAUCACCGCCAGUCUUCACUUGGAAACAGAAUCACACCUUGUGAAGAGAUCAUCCCUAAGCAGGAGAGAAGCUACUAAAGAUAUAAAGUAAAUGGAAUACAAUUUAAGCUUUCCUUGAGUCAACAAUCUUCUCACUAAAGAUCAAUUACUACAUUGUGCUGAAGUGGGGGAAAAGCCUCAAAAACUACUGCAAUAAACAAGGCCGAUCUGCUACUUCUCAUCACUGA